RNAcentral lists this long non-coding RNA (1055 nucleotides) under Pongo abelii (Sumatran orangutan). RNAcentral's name for it is "lincRNA". The record is from RNAcentral. Lineage: Eukaryota; Metazoa; Chordata; Mammalia; Primates; Hominidae.
GUAUGGGGAAAGUUUAAGGUGGAAGGGCCCUAGUUUGUCGGCUGCUUGAGAAGUCUGGGGAUUACUGGGGCUAAUAGGACUUCAGCUGGGGCUUCAUCAUGUGGUCUGGGCUUCCUGACAGCAUGGCCACUGGUUUCCAAGAGUUUCAACAAUAUUUUCGUCAUAUUUAUUGAAGCCCUCACUGACAGACUUCUCAAGGCCCCCUACCUUCUAUUCACUGCCUGGCCCCAAAGCCAGUGCCACACGUUUUAGGUUUUUAACUGCAGCAGCACCUAUAAUGGUUCCAAAAUCUGUAUCGUUAAAGUUUGAUCAGAGAAGCAAAACCACCUUGAGCAAAACAAGGAAUGUAUUAAAGAGAUUAGGAUACACAUUGUUAUGAGAGCUGCAGCCUGCUGCCCGUGUGUCCUGAAGUGGGCCUGAAGUCAGCAGGGCUGGCAAAUGGAUGUGUAGUGGGAGACAGUCGACAUGAGCUGCACCUGCAGGGAGGAGAUGGAACUCCUGUGGAUGGACUGAUACUGAUGUCUUCCACAUCAGCCUCUCAGGCCUCCAACACUCCUCCUCCUCUGAUGAAGAUGACCUGCAGAAGAGCUGGUGCGCUUCACCAUGGAAUUGCUCAUAAACCCAAGAUUCAGUGAAGCUGAAGAAGCAGUUCUGGUGGGAGCUGGAGGAACUGCAGGCACAGCCGCUGCCCUGUACCAAUACAUUGAGCCAGUGGGAGCCUGGCAUUGUGUGUGAGUCACCACAGCGCCCGGCCCUACACAGACUCUGACUGUAAAUACGACUGCUGUUUCACUUCUGCCUUCCAAAUUUUGCUCAUAUUUUCUGAGAAACAUAGUUCAGCUUAGGCACAUUGACACAGUACAAAGCCACCGCAGUGGCUGGCCAGGGAGGGAUUAUGAAUGCAGGCUGAGAAUGCACAGGAAGUGUUUGUGUAUUUAUAGAGUAGGUACCAUUCAAGGAUUUAUGUGAAUCAGGUGCAAAGAACUCACACAAAGGUGGGGAAAGUUAGUGCUUAGAAAUCAGUGAUACUAGAUAAUCAAUAAAUACAAAUAAAC